AAUGAACGCUGGCGGCGCGCCUAAUACAUGCAAGUCGAGCGAGAAGACGUAGCAAUACGUUUGUAAAGCGGCGAACGGGUGAGGAAUACAUGGGUAACCUACCCUCGAGUGGGGAAUAACUAGCCGAAGGUUAGCUAAUACCGCGUACGCUCCUUGGACUUCGGUUCAGGGAGGAAAGCGAUACCGUGGGUAUCGCGCUCUUGGUUGGGCUCAUGUCCUAUCAGCUUGUUGGNGAGGUAACGGCUCACCAAGGCUUCGACGGGUAGCUGGUCUGAGAGGACGAUCAGCCACACUGGCACUGCGACACGGGCCAGACUCCUACGGGAGGCAGCAGUAAGGAAUAUUGCGCAAGUGGGCGAAAGCCUGACGCAGCGACGCCGCGGUGGGGGA
RNAcentral lists this ribosomal RNA (390 nucleotides) under uncultured bacterium. Its description in RNAcentral is "bacterial SSU rRNA". It matches the Rfam family "Bacterial small subunit ribosomal RNA", at positions 29 to 408 of the family's 1533-position model. The record is from RNAcentral.